Molecule: ribosomal RNA, 437 nt
Filed under: uncultured bacterium
Lineage: Bacteria
Description: partial 16S ribosomal RNA
Rfam family: Bacterial small subunit ribosomal RNA
Source: RNAcentral
AGCGAACGCUGGCGGCAGGCUUAACACAUGCAAGUCGAGCGGGCAUCCUUGUGGUUUCAGCGGCAGACGGGUGAGUAACGCGUGGGAACGUGCCCUGCGGUUCGGAAUAACUCAGGGAAACUUGAGCUAAUACCGGAUACGUGCGAGAGCAGAAAGGUUUAUCUGCCGAAGGAUCGGCCCGCGUCUGAUUAGCUAGUUGGUGAGGUUAUGGCUCACCAAUGCGACGAUCAGUAGCUGGUCUGAGAGGCUGAUCAGCCACAAUGGGAAUGAGACCCGGCCCCGAAUCCUACGGGAGGCAGGAGUGGGGAAUAUAAGACAAUGGGGGCAACCGUAAUCCAGCCAUGCCGGGUGAGUGAUGACGGCCUUAGGGUUGUAAAGCUCUUUUCUCCGGGACGAUAAUGACGGUACCGGAGGAAUAAGCCCCGGCUAACUACGUG